Molecule: long non-coding RNA, 1763 nt
Organism: Cyanoderma ruficeps (rufous-capped babbler)
Lineage: Eukaryota; Metazoa; Chordata; Aves; Passeriformes; Timaliidae
Source: Ensembl
AUGGGAUGGAGCUCUUUUCUUCACCGGCAUCUUAAAUGCAGUCUAAAUGAUCCAUCAUGCCCUGCACACAGCAAAAGGAAUAGCAGACAGAUUUGGAGCAUAUGUUUUUGCAUCACCUGGAUGUGGCUGGGAACAACUGGCACUGCUGUCCUGGAAGUGACAAUUGACAAGAUUUUACCUGUUCUACAGUAUAAAGCAUUGGCUCACCUGUGGCGUGCAUGAAAUUCUUUAAGGGAGGGAGUUCUUCUUGAUGUCCCCCUGCUCUGACCAACAUGAGUGAAGAAGUUUGCCUUUGUUUCACCAAAGGUGUUGGUCUGUGUAAAAUAGUAUAAAAAAGACACAUCCCAAAAAUUGAGUAAUUUUUAGCCUUCUGAGUCUGUGUCACUGUAGUGUUAAACAGUGUGACCGAGCAGAGAGGCUUCCACCACUAUUUUGGGUAUCAGCUGGGUGACACGAGGCUGCUGUCACACCUGUCCUUUACUUUGAUCCCUCUUUGUAACAUGGACGUUUUGGGCAAAAUGCAAGCUGCCCUGCAAAAUACCAUUUUGAACUUUUUAGCAGAAACCUUUUGCUAAAUAUUGCAUCUGACUGCCUGUGAAUAAUAAGUUUGCCUGCUCAUAAAAAUCAUGUUGAAGGCCCACUGACAGCAGCGGCUAAUAUCACAAUACAUUGCUCUCUAGUGGUGUGAAAAUUAUUAUUCAAUAGAUGCAUUUCCAAAUUACCCUUAAAUUAUCGGUCUAGGAUCACGCUAUCAAGAAAGUCAGACCCGAACUGCAGAAGAGCACAAUUGUAACUACUUUCCCAACUGUUAAAUUGCAAUUAAACCUAUAUUAAGCAACCCUUUGAUGUGCCUUUUACUUAAUUCUUAUAAUUUAACUUAGAACUGUUGAUUGUAGUUAUUUGAAAUAAUGGAUACAAUUUCAGUAGGGCCCAGCAUAAUUGUGGAGACAUUUGUAAGAUUUGAGUCACUUUUUAAAGGUUUAUAUGAGAAACAGAUUAUUUUAGUUGCAAGUUUCUCAUAUUACUGCUAUAUUUUUAAUAUUUGGUGAUAACCAACUUAAGUAAAAUAGUUUACCCUGGUAAUGAGAUUUUUCUUUUAGCUCUUUAUGUAGACACUAUUUAGAAAGGAAUUUUAGCUUGGUUUUCCACUAGUUCUCUCAUCCUUUCAAUAACUGAGUAUAAUUUAAAGUUUUGUUAGUAUUUAACCCCAUUUCCCUCUAGAUUAAUUAUCCUAAUAUAAAACAAAUGUGUGUUAAACAUAUGUAGUUGCUUACGGAAGCAGAUUUGGCUGUUUCAUUUAAUAUAAGUCUCUUGUUGCACUAAACAAACCCGUCAUAUUUAAGAUUUCUCUGGUCAUUAAAACUGAAUUAUGUAAUAGGCUUCCAUCUGCCAUUGAAACCUGUUCAUCAUUAUUUUGUGUCAUUUUAAGUGGGAGCAUUCUGAGAAAUGCUUGGUGACAGCAGGCUUGGCUCUCCUGGCUCUGAGAGCAGGGCAGGACAUAGCUUCCUUCCUUUCCAGCUGCAAAAAAUGAACAUGUGGCCUUCUGAGAAGGUUUUCUCCAAGAGUUUGGUCCUCACUUCUCCAGCCUUUCCAUCUUCUGCAAAAUAAUAAUAAAAUAAAUUCUGUAUUUCGUUUGUGCUGCUAAACUGUGUGCGAGGCAAGCUCCUCCCCACAUCCUCCCCAGGCAGUUGAGCUGAUUGCUGUGGGAUAAAGGCAGCGCUGCCAUCCAUCAACCCCAGCCCUGCUCUGGGUGACACUGAUGG